RNAcentral lists this long non-coding RNA (1143 nucleotides) under Dromaius novaehollandiae (emu). Its description in RNAcentral is "lncRNA (ENSDNVG00000002181.1)". Lineage: Eukaryota; Metazoa; Chordata; Aves; Casuariiformes; Dromaiidae. The record is from RNAcentral.
CUGUGAUCCUGGAUCAUCAUUUCUACACCAAAGCAACCUGAAGAGUGAGAAGCAUAACUUAAGGGCAUGGAGGAAGAAAGAAAAGCUCAAGAAAGAAAAGAAACAGAAGCAAGAAAACCUUGCCUUCUGACAUGUCCUCCCUGAAUGUAGUGUAUCUUAUUCUCAUUUUAAAAUUCUGUAAAUGUGAAAAAUGUCUUGUUGUUUUCAGGCUUUCUCAACCUUUUUCUAAAACUCUUUGGAAUAUAUUUCAAAUGGUUAAAUAGUUUUAUCAUCCACUGUUAAGUUGCUAUUAUUAUUAUUAUUAUUUAUCAUUUAGCUUGACAUAAAGUUGAAGACAAAAGACUGUCCUGGUUACAGAUAYGUAAGAUGCUGCAGACUAAAAGGUGUUUUUUAAAAAAGUCAGAAGUUAAACAGAUGUCCUUGGAGAAGCUGAAGAUGGAAAUAUUUCUCAAAUGAGCAAUUUCACACACGCAGAGUGGAAGCUGCCUUGGUAGGUUUCUCAAGAGACCGGCAACCUUUUCUACAGGUCAUGGGGAGCAGAACUUCUUUGUAUUUUUCUACUUUGAGUUUGUGAGUAAACACAAUACAGUGCUUUAUGUUGAAUGCUGAGAGCACAUAAAGUCCUAAGGGACCAGAUUUCCCCAGGCCAAGAGGGAACAUUACUUUUUAAAAACAUGGAUAAGCCAGCUAUGCUACUAUGCCAUUUUAAUUGCUUCAAACUAUAAGCACAGAUGCAGAGGCUGUUUCAAAUAAAUGAACUGUAUGCUUACAAACCAUUUUCCAGAGACAUCAAGUUGCAAUUUUCGGUAAAUAACAGAUAAAGUAGAAGCAACUUCUGUGCCACUCUUGAUGGAUGGCAGGAAAAAGCAGAAGGAAACAUUAGCUCUGCUUCUCUUUUGCUUUUGCACUGCUUUCAUCUACAGUGUGAAAUUCCAAGUUACUGUGAAAAAGCUGUCCAAGGAAUAUUCUUGGCAAUACUGCAAGCAGAAAGUACAGGAAACCUCACAAGAGAGUUUGUUCCAGCAACAUUGCCAUCCACGUUUCACAGCUGCAAGGACAUUCAAACCAAAUCUAAACACCAUCUUUUCCCAUAUACAGAACCUUGCUGAGGUAAAAGUAGCAGGACCAGAAAAGUUUAAUUAA